This 47-nucleotide ribosomal RNA is filed under the name uncultured Mycoplasma sp. RNAcentral's name for it is "partial 23S ribosomal RNA". The record is from RNAcentral. Lineage: Bacteria; Bacillati; Mycoplasmatota; Mollicutes; Mycoplasmatales; Mycoplasmataceae.
ACUUUUAAAUAAUAAAGAGUUUGUAGUGGAUGCCUUGGGUCUGAAAG